UAGGGAAUCUUCCGCAAUGGGCGAAAGACUGACGGAGCAACGCCGCGUGAGUGAUGAAGGUCUUCGGAUCGUAAAACUCUGUUAUUAGGGAAGAACAAAUGUGUAAGUAACUAUGCACGUCUUGACGGUACCUAAUCAGAAAGCCACGGCUAACUACGUGCCAGCAGCCGCGGUAAUACGUAGGUGGCAAGAGUUAUCCGGACUUAUUGGGCGUAAAGCGCGCGUAGGCGGUUUUUUAAGUCUGAUGUGAAAGCCCACGGCUCAACCGUGGAGGGUCAUUGGAAACUGGAAAACUUGAGUGCAGAAGAGGAAAGUGGAAUUCCAUGUGUAGCGGUGAAAUGCGCAGAGAUAUGGAGGAACACCAGUGGCGAAGGCGACUUUCUGGUCUGUAACUGACGCUGAUGUGCGAAAGCGUGGGGAUCAAACA
Molecule: ribosomal RNA, 427 nt
Filed under: uncultured bacterium
Lineage: Bacteria
Description: partial 16S ribosomal RNA
Rfam family: Bacterial small subunit ribosomal RNA
Source: RNAcentral